RNAcentral lists this ribosomal RNA (207 nucleotides) under uncultured bacterium. RNAcentral's name for it is "partial 16S ribosomal RNA". It matches the Rfam family "Bacterial small subunit ribosomal RNA", at positions 568 to 774 of the family's 1533-position model. The record is from RNAcentral.
CACGUAGGCGGGCUCUUAAGUCAGAUUUUAAAUCCAACAGCUUAACUGUUGACCUGGAUCUGAAACUGAGAGUCUUGAAUACAAGAGAGGAAAGCGGAAUUCCUGGUGUAGCGGUGAAAUGCGUAGAUAUCAGGAAGAACACCGGUGGCGAAGGCGGCUUUCUGGCUUGUUAUUGGCGCUGAUGUGCGAAAGCGUGGGGAGCGAACA